Molecule: long non-coding RNA, 1243 nt
Filed under: Ornithorhynchus anatinus (platypus)
Lineage: Eukaryota; Metazoa; Chordata; Mammalia; Monotremata; Ornithorhynchidae
Description: lncRNA (ENSOANG00000043002.1)
Source: RNAcentral
CCACUGGAGGGAGAGGAGGAAGAAGAGUGGAGGGACAGAAGGAUCAGACGGAGCAGUGUAAAGGGUGAUGUAAAGAGCACGAGCCUGGGAGUCACAGGAUCAGGGUUCUAAUUCUGGCUCCGCCACUUGUAAUAAUAAUAAUUGUGGUAUUUGUUAAGCCCUUACUAUGUGCCAGACAAUGUAUUAAGCACUGGAAUGGAUACAAGCCAAACAGGUUGGAUACAGUCCAUGUCCCAUAUGGGGCUCACAGUCUUAAUCCCAGGUUUACAGAUGAGGGAACUGAGUUACAGAGAAGUGAAGCGACUUGCCGAAGGCCACACAGCAAAUGGCAGAACUGGGACUAGAACCUAGGCCUUCUGACUCCCAGGCCUGUGCUCUAUUCACUACACCAUGCUGCUUGUCUCUGUGACCUUGAACAAGUAACAUCACUUCUCUGUGCCUUUGUUACUUCAUCAGUAAAAUGGGGAUUAAGACUGUGAGCCUCAUGAGGGACGUGGGUUGGGUCCAACCUGUAUCCAUAUUCCCCAACACUUAGUAUAGUGCCUGGCACAGUGUAAGCACUUAAAUACCAUACAAAAGGAGGAGGAGGCCACCGACCUGGCCAGAGCAGAGAUCUGGCCCUGCAGAAAGAUGUGCCCUGUGAAUAUUGGGGGCUCCAAGGCACUGGGAGAUCACAGUCUUCAAUAUCUUGACCAACUGAAUCAUUUGAAGGGGGGAUUUGGGAUGCAUUAAAAAUCAACGACUCCUUCCCAAAUGGGGGUUUCUGAUUGUAUGGAAAUGUAAUAUCCAGCAAACAGUUCUUUCUCUGCCCACUGGACGACCAAGCAACAGCCCUGGGAACCCUGCCAUCCUGACAUUACAACAACCAUGUGAGUCACUCUCCGCUCCCCUUACCAGAAACAUAUACUCUAGUGGAUGCCACGAGAUGCUAUCAGCUGACAAUGGCUUAACAGCAACUGGAGUAAAUGAAGCAUGGAUUAAACUGAACUCAGGAAAUGGGGAAAAAAACAUAGCAAUCAGUCAUAAAGCAUUGCUGUGAUGAAGUUCCCCUGGCAGUGUGAAUAAAAGUCAAAUUUAAUAACAAUGAUCAUGGUAUCUGUUAAGCACUUAUGAUGUGCCAAGCACUGUUCUAAACACUGGGGUAGAUACAAGGCCAUCAGGUUGCCCCAUGAGGGGCUCACAGCCUUUAUCCCCAUUUUACAGAUGAAAUAACUGAGGCACAGAGAAGUUAAGCGGCUUGCCC